Molecule: long non-coding RNA, 1228 nt
Organism: Oreochromis aureus
Lineage: Eukaryota; Metazoa; Chordata; Actinopteri; Cichliformes; Cichlidae
Source: Ensembl
AAAUAUGAAAAGCUGCAUUUUAUGCUCUGGUCAUUAGUACUGGUAUUUUAAUGUAAGCAAACAUAGGGAACAUACACCGAUGCGUAAGUACUACAGAUGAAGAUGCAAAGAAACCAUGAAAUAAUUAAUGAAAUAGUGAAGUUUAUGAAUAAAAUAAACAACUAUUUUGUUUUACAAAUCUUGUCAAACUUGUAAAACAAUCUGAGCUCUUCAGUCAUCAAUAUCUUUCCUGAAUACCUGAAGCUUCUCUCUGAAGUGGAUAUGUUGUCGCGGCCCAUGUCAGCUCUACUUGUGGCCCGCAUAAUGACGUGACGAAAUAUUUUUAAAAAUUAUUAUUCAAAAAAUUAUUUAAUAUGAAGGCAAUAGGCAGAGUGUUACAGGCAUAGACUUAAAGAAUGUAGCCUCAUGGGCAGUGUAGCCCAGUUGUAAGUGCUAUUAGGACUCGACUGUACACUGUGUUCGUGUACAUUGCACAUUGUUCUUUGCAGUAGGAAGAGUUCAGUCUUUGUGAGCUGCAUGGAUGACAUGCUGCACAGGCUUCCUUUUAUGGGCGUCUAAGUUAAUGUUGGGUGAUUCACAUUAGCAACCAUACGUUGCCUUUCUUGUGUAGAAUCAUCCGUCAACUCCGGCUUGACGAGCUGGUCUCUUGGCCGUCAGAGCGCGGUGUGCUAGUUCAAUUCCAAGUAACUGGUCACUGGGAAAGCCCAGCAUGUUUUUCAAUAAAUUAUCCAAAAAUGUCAUCACGUCGGCCCCUUCUUUAUCUUCACAUAUUCCAUAUAUCUAAAGGUUAUCUCUGCGCGCUCAGCCUUCCUGCUCAACCAGCCUCGCUUCUAGGCUGGCUUGACGUUCUGUUAAUCUCUUAAUUAAAGACGAUGCCGCCUGUAGCAGCAUCUCAGUCUCGUCAAAUCGCCCCUCUGCCUCUUCCAUUCUAGCAUCAACUCUUCUUAACCCUCGUCUAAUAUGUGCAUAUUGUUUGUUGUUGUCUUUCCUAAAGUCACGAAGCUCUUUCGGGAUAUUGAAGAGGCUGGGCUCGUCUGUAUCCAUGCCCUCUGUGGCUAACCUUAGCUCGGGAGAGUAGCUCCUAUCCACGUGGCUUUUCUCUGUUUCCUCUUUUGUCUGAGUUGUGCCUCUCAAACUACAUCACACCUAAACACAUUCAUGUAAAAAACACAGAGGUUAAGCCAUCAAAGUGUGUGUAAAAGAAGUGUUUAUGUCUGUCUUGCAGUUU